UACGGAGGGGGCUAGCGUUGUUCGGAAUUACUGGGCGUAAAGCGCACGUAGGCGGUCCUCUAAGUCGGGUGUGAAAGCCCGGGGCUUAACCCCGGAAGUGCACUCGAAACUGGAGGGCUUGAGUAUGGAAGAGGGUCUCGGAAUUCCCGGUGUAGAGGUAAAAUUCGUAGAUAUCGGGAGGAACACCAGUGGCGAAGGCGGAGACCUGGGCCAAUACUGACGCUGAGGUGCGAAAGCGUGGGGAGCAAACAGG
Molecule: ribosomal RNA, 253 nt
Filed under: uncultured bacterium
Lineage: Bacteria
Description: partial 16S ribosomal RNA
Rfam family: Bacterial small subunit ribosomal RNA
Source: RNAcentral